CAGCUGCCUUGCUCUCAUCCUGAUGGUAGCUUUCAGCUGCUUUGCACACUAAGGUCCCUGGAUGUGGUGAUACAGUACAAUUCAGAAGAAAUGACUGAAAAAGAAAAGGCAUGUUGCUACCCAAAAAGGUCACAGAGGGAAAAUGAAACAGUGCUGUGCCAUGUACUGGUGUUCCUGAGACUAAAACUCUAGAGAGCAGAAGAUGGAGCUUUCUUGGCAGCUAACUCAUACCUGCAGAAAUCCCUCAUUGCAUGUGGUGAGAGGUGUGAAAACUACAGCUACUUUCAAAGUCAAGCGCUCCUGAAAUUUGAAUGUUCACAUUCACUGCCAUUUAGGGGCUGAAGGAAGUGGGGCUAUUCAGGCUAAAGAAGACAUCCCAGUGGUCUUCACAUCCUUAAAGGCUGCUUCUGAGAGGAAGGUAAUAAUCAUCCCCAUGCUGAGCAAAAAGAAGUAUAGACUGGAAUUGCAGAGAGGCAGACUGAGGUUAGACAUAAGCACAAACUCAAAAUAAGGAGAGUGAAGGAGUAGCUAUGAAUAUUGUGAAAUUUCCAUCACUGAAGAUGUUUAAAAGUGAGUUACACGAAUCUCUGCUGUAAGAAUAUAGCUGUAGACUUGCUGGGUGGAAUUUGGAAUUGACUAGCUGACCUCUUGGUUUAUGGAAUCAGAGAAGCAUAGAAUCGUAGAGUGGUUGGGGUUGGAAAGGACCUUAAGCUCAUCCAGUU
This is a long non-coding RNA of Pezoporus occidentalis (night parrot), 722 nucleotides long. RefSeq lists it as uncharacterized. The transcript has 4 exons. The record is from RefSeq and is a predicted model, not a curated record. Lineage: Eukaryota; Metazoa; Chordata; Aves; Psittaciformes; Psittacidae.